Molecule: non-coding RNA, 28 nt
Filed under: Bombyx mori (domestic silkworm)
Lineage: Eukaryota; Metazoa; Arthropoda; Insecta; Lepidoptera; Bombycidae
Source: RNAcentral
CCAUAUUAUAUGGCUCCCUACCGCGACC